AAACACCAGUUCACAUUUGAUCACCAUAGUUAAGCAAUGUUGAGCUCAGUCAGUACUAAAAUAGGUAACCACUUUGGAAUAUUGGGUACUGUA
Non-coding RNA from Acanthosepion pharaonis, 93 nucleotides. NCBI's taxonomy places the organism in Eukaryota, Metazoa, Mollusca, Cephalopoda, Sepiida, Sepiidae. The record is from the annotation of a GenBank genome assembly.